This 440-nucleotide ribosomal RNA is filed under the name uncultured bacterium. Its description in RNAcentral is "partial 16S ribosomal RNA". It matches the Rfam family "Bacterial small subunit ribosomal RNA", at positions 338 to 795 of the family's 1533-position model. The record is from RNAcentral.
CCUACGGGAGGCUGCAGUGGGGGAUAUUGCACAAUGGGGGGAACCCUGAUGCAGCGACGCCGCGUGGGUGAAGAAGGGCCUCGGCGCGUAAAGCCCUGUCAGCAGGGAAGAAAAUGACGGUACCUGAAGAAGAAGCCCCGGCUAACUACGUGCCAGCAGCCGCGGGAAUACGUAGGGGGCAAGCGUUAUCCGGAUUUACUGGGUGUAAAGGGGGCGCAGACGGCGAUGCAAGCCAGGAGUGAAAGCCCGGGGCCCAACCCCGGGACUGCUCUUGGAACUGCGUGGCUGGAGUGCAGGAGAGGCAGGCGGAAUUCCUGGUGUAGCGGUGAAAUGCGUAGAUAUCAGGAGGAACACCGGUGGCGAAGGCGGCCUGCUGGACUGCAACUGACGUUGAGGCCCGAAAGCGUGGGGAGCAAACAGGAUUAGAUACCCCGGUAGUC